AGGGUUAUAGUUAAUUAUAACAUUUGAUUUGCAUUCAAAAAGUAUUGAUAUAUCAAUUUUCCUUA
RNAcentral lists this transfer RNA (65 nucleotides) under Rhipidia chenwenyoungi. Its description in RNAcentral is "tRNA-Ala". It matches the Rfam family "tRNA". Rfam says of the family: Transfer RNA (tRNA) molecules are approximately 80 nucleotides in length. The record is from RNAcentral. Lineage: Eukaryota; Metazoa; Arthropoda; Insecta; Diptera; Limoniidae.